UUAAGUGUAGCCCAGUGGUAGAGCACUUGCCUGACAUGCUCAAGUCUGUGAGUUCAAUUCUCAGCACUGAAA
RNAcentral lists this transfer RNA (72 nucleotides) under Fukomys damarensis (Damara mole-rat). It matches the Rfam family "tRNA". Rfam says of the family: Transfer RNA (tRNA) molecules are approximately 80 nucleotides in length. Lineage: Eukaryota; Metazoa; Chordata; Mammalia; Rodentia; Bathyergidae. The record is from Rfam by way of RNAcentral.